This 140-nucleotide ribosomal RNA is filed under the name uncultured bacterium. Its description in RNAcentral is "partial 16S ribosomal RNA". It matches the Rfam family "Bacterial small subunit ribosomal RNA", at positions 354 to 506 of the family's 1533-position model. The record is from RNAcentral.
GUGGGGAAUCUUGCACAAUGGGCGAAAGCCUGAUGCAGCGACGCCGCGUGAGGGAUGACGGCCUUCGGGUUGUAAACCUCUUUCAGCAGGGACGAAGCGCAAGUGACUGUACCUGCAGAAGAAGCACCGGCUAACUACGU